Macrobrachium nipponense is the source of this 1908-nucleotide long non-coding RNA. RefSeq lists it as uncharacterized. The record is from RefSeq and is a predicted model, not a curated record. The transcript is spliced from 3 exons. NCBI's taxonomy places the organism in Eukaryota, Metazoa, Arthropoda, Malacostraca, Decapoda, Palaemonidae.
GUUGGCUGGUAGACGUAUCAGUACGAUUACUGGUGCGGCGGUUAUCCACUUCAGUUCAUAUGCUCCAACGCAGAUUUAGAAGUAUUUUACAGGAAUUCGACGCCAUGGGUUGGUUUCAGUGACGGCCGGUGAGGCAGUUACGGUCUUUUGUUCCACACCGACUCGUACUUUUCCAGUUUCGCUGUCUCCAUGUGGUCCCUACGGAAUGAUCCAAAUAUUGCCGAGGACCUGCGUGUUGGAAUGUGUUUUAUUACAAUAAGAAAAAUACAGUUAAACUAAAUUUUCCCAUUGGUGUUGUCUACCGAGUUCAUCUUUACCAGUUUUAGCAAGGUUUUUUUUUUACUUUUACUUGAAUUAAAUAGAUGUUUUAUUAUGAAGAGAACCCUUUUCCUUACAAGAACAAUAACAUAAAAAAAUUGCUAUUGUUAGUAUGUUAACUUGAAGAAAACUUACUUUAAAACAAUUUUGUCAAAACUACUUAAAUGGCAUUAGAUAUGUUUUAAUUCAGCGUAUUUAACUUUCUGAAGAUCUUUAAACAUUUCAAGGAAAGAUGAUACGAUGAAUAUUAAAGACGGGAUGAAAAAAGAAAAACUGCUAUCCCUAGAUUCUUCAGAACUUCAAUAUCCUAUUUUUCCUUUUCCUCCACCCCAUAGGGCUUACAUAGUAGGCGUAGGCCUACUGAGCGAGUCCUUGGAGUUUUUUAGAUGACCAUGAGUUUUAACUUAACUAUUACUAGUAAUUUCUUAAAACUGAUACUAGCAAUCUUUUAAACUGAUAAUCUAGUGAUUUCAGUAAAUUACCGUCGCACUAUGUUUUGUACACAUGCCAUGGUUUGUAUAAAUCUGAUAGUUUGUAUAAAAACUGGUAUGAGUUUCUGUCUUAACAGUUAACUUGUAUUAGUAGGCCAUAUAUUAAGUGCUAUAUGGUUACUGAUUUUAUUAGCUUAAUCCAUUCGGGUUUUAGUUCUUCUCACCCUAUCACUGAGAAUUCAAAAGCUAUUUUUUGGAAUAUAUUAGUUUGGUCAGUUUUUCAUAUGUAACUUAAGUUUUCUGUUGAGGUCAGUUUGAUCUUUAUUGAAGAACUAUACAAUGAUUACUUCUGGAUUAGUGUUUCUAGUUUUUCAAAGCUACCAUUUUAUCUUCAGUUUCGGAUCAUGAAAUUUAUUUAAACUUUUAAAAAUCCAUGGUUAUAACAUUUUAGAUAUUUGGUAGGUGUUAGUAUUUUGGAGGAUUGAUGUUUUAUAUAUUUUGUAAUUUGAAAAGACUUUGCAUAAAGAAAAACUUAACGUAAUGAGCAACAGCGUACGUUAACUUUUUUUUCUACCUUUUAGUAAGGUUUGCUUUUAAUUUAGUUUUAUCCAGAGCUUUUCACGACUUACGGGUGACCUUCCUCAGACUCAAGGAUUUGGAGUACGCCUUUUUCCAUCUUUUACAAAAACGAGGCUUUUCUCAUUUUAGUUUUGAAGUGUGAUAAAAUAGGUUUUGAUAAAUCAUUCUGUAACCGUAGAUUCAUGAUUAAGAAAGAUUUUGGUGUGUGCACCAUCCUGUAAUUGCUGUUUGUAACCACAUAAAAGUGGCCGUGAUUGUCAGAAAAAGUGUACAUGAACUGUUAAAUAUUUUUAUUUAAGAUACAAGGAUAUAAUUUCUAUUUUAGAGAUUUGUCUUAAUGGUUCUAAUCUGGAUAUGUAUUGCAUAUCAAAUUAUUAACAAAUAUAAAGGAAAUUGACUGUGACUAUAUUUUGAAAUGUCAUAUUAUAGCCUUCAGUGAUCUGAUGGCUGAGAGGUUGAAAGUCUGUCAGGGCUUAAGUCUCGGCAGUUGGCCGUUUGUGUGAAACUGACGAAAUCCUAGAUAUUCAUUGGUAAAAAAAAAAAAAAAUGGUAUUGGCAACUUGUGUAGUCCCUUGUACAA